This 467-nucleotide long non-coding RNA is filed under the name Bos taurus (domestic cattle). RNAcentral describes it as "long non-coding RNA NONBTAT007294". Lineage: Eukaryota; Metazoa; Chordata; Mammalia; Artiodactyla; Bovidae. The record is from RNAcentral.
CACAAAAAUGGUUAAAAGCUAUACAAAUAAAGACAAAAAAAACAGAAUCAAGAUUUAUUCUAGCUAUUUAGGACACUGACUCCCAGCAAGGAGACCCUACAUUUCAAUCUGUUUGAUCAAAUUACCAUGUAAAUCUGCUUUCAUCAAAUUCACUUAAGAUGAAAGAAUCAGUAAAUACAAUGAGCUCUAAAUGAUUUACCCCAAAAGAUGGCAGUAAUGACGUAGUACUAAAAGAAAAUAAUCCGUAAUGUAUUUAUACUAGAAAACUGCAUUCAUGUGCUUUUAAAUAUCAGACUUAUUUUCCUAAUUGGGGGCUAGCAGACACUAUAUAAAUGAAGAAAUUUGUAUUCUCUAAGUUCAUAAUAGAGAAGAUGAAGGAAAGAAAGGAAGAACAGGAGUGUUCAGCAGCGGAGAAAAGCUAAAUGUUAGUCCUAAAUUUCAGUCUGUUCCUGAUAAAAAAUGAAUAA